This 207-nucleotide ribosomal RNA is filed under the name uncultured bacterium. Its description in RNAcentral is "partial 16S ribosomal RNA". It matches the Rfam family "Bacterial small subunit ribosomal RNA", at positions 524 to 730 of the family's 1533-position model. The record is from RNAcentral.
UACGUAGGGUGCAAGCGUUAAUCGGAAUUACUGGGCGUAAAGCGUGCGCAGGCGGUUUUGUAAGUCUGUCGUGAAAGCCCCGGGCUCAACCUGGGAAUUGCGAUGGAGACUGCAAGGCUUGAAUCUGGCAGAGGGGGGUAGAAUUCCACGUGUAGCAGUGAAAUGCGUAGAGAUGUGGAGGAACACCGAUGGCGAAGGCAGCCCCCU